UGCAAAUCAAUAUAAAUUGAUUAUUAAUUAUUUAUUUAUUAAUUUUUAUUUUGUUAUUAAAAUUUAUUAAUAUUAAAAAUAAUUAUAAAAAUUUUUGUUUUAGUAAUUUUUAAUGAAAAAAUAUGUUUUAUAAUAGUUUAUUUGUAUUGUGAAAGGUUAUUGAAAUAAAUUGAAAAAUUUUUAUAUAAAAAGAAAAAUUAAUUAUUUGUACCUUGUGUAUCAGGGUUUAUUAAAUAGUUAAUAAUUAUUUAUUAAUUUCGAUUUUAUAAGAGUUAAUAAUUUAUGAAAUUUAAUGUUUUAAAAUUAUUUUAAAUAAAUUAUUUGAAAUGAAAUGUUAUUCGUUUAUAAAUAUAUCUAGUUUUUUUAGAAAUAAAUUUAAUUUAUAAAUUUUUAAUUUUAUUUAUUAUUUUUUAAUAAAUAAAUUUAUUAAUUUAAGUAUUUUUAGGGAUAAGCUUAAAAAUAAAGUUAUUAUAAAUAUAAGUUAAUUAAUUUAUUUAAUAUAUAUAUUUAGAAUUGAUAAUUGUUAUAAAGUUUGUUAUAAAUUAUUUCAUUAAAUUUAUAUAAUAUAUAUAUAUAUAUAUAUAAUAUAUUUAUUUAUUAUUUUUAUUAUUUAUUUAUAUUUUAAUUUUUUAUAAAAAAUUUUUUUUUAAUUUUUUUUAGAAAUUAAUAAUGAUAAAAUUAGUAUAUUAUUAAUGUAAUAAAAAUUUAAAUGAUAAGUUUAUGUAAAGAACUUGGCAAAUAUUUUACUCGCCUGUUUAACAAAAACAUGUCUUUUUGAGUUAUUUUAAAAGUCUAACCUGCCCAAUGAAUUAUUAUUUUAAUGGCCGCAGUAUUUUAACUGUGCAAAGGUAGCAUAAUCAUUAGUCUUUUAAUUGAAGGCUUGUAUGAAUGGUUGGACGAAGUAUAAUCUGUUUCAUAUAAAUUUAUUAUAGAAUUUUAUAUUUUAGUAAAAAAGCUUAAAUAUAAUUAAAAGACGAGAAGACCCUAUAAAUCUUUAUAAUUUUUAUAUUAUUAAUUUUUUGGAUUUUUCUUAUUUUUAUUUUAAUAACUAUUUUGUUGGGGUGAUAUUAAAAUUUAAAAAACUUUUAUUAUUAAUUAUUUCAUUAAUUUAUGAUUUUUUGAUCUUUUAUUAAUGAUUAUAAGAAUAAGUUACUUUAGGGAUAACAGCGUAAUUUUUUUGGAGAGUUCUUAUUGAUAAAAUAGUUUGCGACCUCGAUGUUGGAUUAAGAUAAAUUUUAGGUGUAGUUGCUUAAAUAAUAAGUCUGUUCGACUUU
Molecule: ribosomal RNA, 1274 nt
Filed under: Paracantha genitilis
Lineage: Eukaryota; Metazoa; Arthropoda; Insecta; Diptera; Tephritidae
Description: partial 16S ribosomal RNA
Source: RNAcentral